CACGACGAACGCUGGCGGCGUGCCUAAGCUUAUGCAAGUCGAACGCGAGAUGCUCCUUCGGGAGCCGAGUAGAGUGGCAGACGGGUGAGUAACGCGUGGGUAACGUGCCCCAAGUCCUGGGAAUAACCCUCGGAAACGAGGGCUAAUACCGAAUGUGGCCCCCGAUCGGAUGAUCGGUGGCUAAAGGUGGCCUCUUCUAUGCUGCCGGGUUGGGAUCGGCCCGCGUCCCAUUAGCUAGUUGGUGAGGUAACGGCCCACCAAGGCAACGAUGGGUAGCCGGCCUGAGAGGGUGUCCGGCCACACUGGCACUGAGACAAGGGCCAGUCCCCUAUGGGAGGCGCAGGCGGGAAUAGUUCCCAAUGGACGAAAGUCUGAGGACGCGACGCCGCGUGAGCGAAGAAGGCCUUCGGGUUGUAAAGCUCUGUCAGGAGGGAAGAAGGCGCUGGGUGUUAAUAGCACCAAGCGUUGACGGUACUUCCAGAGGAAGCCCCGGCUAAAUACGUGCCAGCAGCCGCGGUAAUACGUAUGGGGCAAGCGUAGUCCGGAUUAACUGGGCGUAAAGGGCACGCAGGCGGUUCGAAAAGUCGAAGGUGAAAUCCCUGGGCUCAACUCAGGAACUGCCUUCGAUACUGGCGAACUAGAGCGGCGUAGAGGAAAGCGGAACUCCUGGU
Molecule: ribosomal RNA, 671 nt
Filed under: uncultured organism
Description: bacterial SSU rRNA
Rfam family: Bacterial small subunit ribosomal RNA
Source: RNAcentral